AUGGACUUCAAAAAGAGAACAUUAAACUGGCAACUCUUGUUGGAAAGGAAAGCAGAGAAACCCAGCCUUCACGAAGAGAAGAACAGAGAAAACAUUACAAAAGGAGGUAUAAAACGAUGCUGCAGGGGAAGUCUGCCCAUCAACAAGAGAGAAGUUCCACUGUUCCCAGUUUUCUGUUAUUAUGGUUGCUGCAGAAAUCUAUGGUCCUCCAAUAAAACUGUUGUCAUAUUUUCUAAGCCUCGGUGGAAAAUGGAUUCGAGGUGUAGGGCUCAUACCAGCCUCAUGACUCACAUUUCUUUCCAGCCUUACAACCUUCAAAUGGGAGUUAGGUUUUGCCACAUCCUUUCUACUCACUUCUCAAGAUGCUGUUUGCCUCAGGAUUAAGGAUUUUUUAGUUAGGCUUAAGUACUUUCUUAUUUUAAUUUUUUCAUGUUUAAUUUAUUUUUUAGAGAGAGACGGAGAAUCUCAAACACACUCCAUGCUCCACAUGGAGGCUGACGCAGGGCUCAAUUCCAUGAUCCUGGGAUCAUGACCCAAGCCAAAAUCAAGAGUUAGACCCUUACCCAACUGAGCCACCCAGGUGCCUCCUAAGUGAUUUCUUAUUCAGAUUACUACCAUUAGGCACAGGAAUUUUUGGAACUUUUUGGCAUAUGAAAAACUCCUUUCCUAAAUUUUCAGGAGGACUUACAGUUUUUGACAAGUGUUAUUGGCCAUUUCCCUCAUGGUCUUGGAGUUGUAUAUGUUAUGGGAAGAGCAAUGGGGGUGUAGGUGACAGUAGAGGAGAUUGCAUUGGAUUCCUGUGCUGAAUGUUUAUUAUUGAAAGGGGAACAUAAUUUGGUUAACAAAUAAAAACAAGCAAAAGAAAAAUUAGACUAAUACC
This 880-nucleotide long non-coding RNA is filed under the name Felis catus (domestic cat). RNAcentral's name for it is "lncRNA (ENSFCAG00000051936.1)". The record is from RNAcentral. Lineage: Eukaryota; Metazoa; Chordata; Mammalia; Carnivora; Felidae.